Leguminivora glycinivorella is the source of this 1396-nucleotide RNA transcript. It is a transcript of the gene named probable serine/threonine-protein kinase yakA, with no coding region annotated. The record is from RefSeq and is a predicted model, not a curated record. The transcript is spliced from 2 exons. Lineage: Eukaryota; Metazoa; Arthropoda; Insecta; Lepidoptera; Tortricidae.
ACCGCUAUGUCCCAUAAUUGUAUUGAGCGUUUGACAGAACGUGGGUUAAGUGUCAUAAACUGGAUUAAACCUAAGGAGUUAAAAAUAGAUCAUCCAUACGAAAUAAUUAACUGCUACCAAAAGCCUUCGCAGUUUGACAGUACGAAAAUGCGGACCAUUUUAAUUUUAAAAGAGGGUCACCUGACUCUUCCAUGUCGUUUUAACGCUAUGGAAGAGGAGGUGAUGGAUGAGAUUAAAAAUGGGGGCAUAGCGGUAGUUUCCAAGGGGCCGAAAAACAGAACCUGGCUUUUAGAGUUUUGUCCAGCAUAAAUAACAUCAGCAGCAACAGCAGCAGCCACCGCAAGCAGCAGCAGCAGCAGCAACAACAACAUUGACGAUGCCAUCCUCUUCGUACCAGUUCAAGAGCGGCAACAGCAACAGCAUCAGCAACAACAUCAGCAACAGCAACAGCAGCAACAACAAGAGCUAACAUCUUCGCAGUCUCCCACACUACUGGUAUCGUUAACGACAUGUAUGAAAUUAACAGUGCAAAGCGAAGAUGCUAACCUAGCUGUACAUCAGCCUAAGGAAAACGUCCCGCCGUCAAUUAAAUGUGAGCGUAGUCACGAUGAAUAUGAAAGUAUCGAGCCAGAGUUGGUAGCACAUUAUGAAAAUAAUAAAAAGCAAUGGAUACGAGCAUUCCAAAACAACUAUCUUAUUAAACAAUGGCGUUUACCAAUGCCACUAAAUCAUUUUAGAGGGGAAGUGUCCCGUUUAAUGAAACACCAAUAUAUUCAAGGUAAUAUUCCAUCUGACGAUGAAGUAUCGGUGUAUUUUCUAACUGUAAUGUGGGAUGAAAUUAAUGAUGAGGUGGAGGGAGUGAUAGGAAAUGAAUCCAUAAAUUUCCAGGAUUGGUUUUUUUUUCUGUGUAGUUGUAAUGUAGAAGUAUAAGAGGAAUUGUAGGAAAUAUAAGAGGUAAAGCGCAUCCAUCGUGUAAUGUAAAUUACAAAGUAGCAAAAUUCAUACCAGUCAUCUUUCACAAUUUGAGUGGUUACGAUUGUCAUCUCUUCAUAAAAGAAUUAGCCAAAACAGAGGGAAGUUUAAAAUGUAUUCCCAUUAACAAGGAAAAGUACAUUUCGUUUAAUAAGAAAAUCGGUGAUUUUAGUCUAAGGUUUAUAGACUCGUAUAAAUUUAUGCCAAGCAGCUUGGAGAAGCUAGUGGGAAAUCUUUCAAGAGAGCAAUUUCAAAUAUUACCCAAUUUCAUUCCAUCACAUAAUCACAUUGAACGCGAGAAAUACAUGCAGAUUUUAACACGUAAAGGAGUUUAUCCCUACGAAUAUGCGAGUGGGUGGGAGAAGCUUGAAGAAACUUCAUUACCUUCUCAAACUGCCUUUUACAGCCAACUCACCGACUCACA